UGGGGAAUAUUGCACAAUGGGCGCAAGCCUGAUGCAGCCAUGCCGCGUGUAUGAAGAAGGCCUUCGGGUUGUAAAGCACUUUCAGUGGGGAGGAAGGCGGUGAGGUUAAUAACCUCAUCGAUUGACGUUACCCGCAGAAGAAGCACCGGCUAACUCCGUGCCAGCAGCCGCGGUAAUACGGAGGGUGCAAGCGUUAAUCGGAAUUACUGGGCGUAAAGCGCACGCAGGCGGUCUGUCAAGUCGGAUGUGAAAUCCCCGGGCUCAACCUGGGAACUGCAUUCGAAACUGGCAGGCUAGAGUCUUGUAGAGGGGGGUAGAAUUCCAGGUGUAGCGGUGAAAUGCGUAGAGAUCUGGAGGAAUACCGGUGGCGAAGGCGGCCCCCUGGACAAAGACUGACGCUCAGGUGCGAAAGCGUGGGGAGCAAACAGG
This 429-nucleotide ribosomal RNA is filed under the name Chloroflexota bacterium. RNAcentral's name for it is "Chloroflexi bacterium partial 16S ribosomal RNA". It matches the Rfam family "Bacterial small subunit ribosomal RNA", at positions 355 to 776 of the family's 1533-position model. The record is from RNAcentral. Lineage: Bacteria; Bacillati; Chloroflexota.